Molecule: ribosomal RNA, 326 nt
Filed under: uncultured eukaryote
Lineage: Eukaryota
Description: partial 18S ribosomal RNA
Rfam family: Eukaryotic small subunit ribosomal RNA
Source: RNAcentral
CCCUUAGAUGUUCUGGGCCGCACGCGCGCUACAAUGAUGCAGGCAACGAGUGCCGCUCCUUAGCCGAAAGGCUUGGGGAAUCUUGAAAACUGCAUCGUGCUAGGGAUAGAUGAUUGCAAUCGUGCAUCUUGAACGAGGAAUGCCUUGUAAGCGCGAGUCAUCAACUCGCGCUGAAUACGUCCCUGCCCUUUGUACACACCGCCCGUCGCUCCUACCGAUUGGAUGGUCCGGUGAACUGGUCGGACUGCUGUUUGAAAUUGCGGGUGCAGUUGAUUCACGGGAAGUCUAGUAAACCUUAUCAUCUAGAGGAAGGAGAAGUCGUAACA